UGCGCAGGCGGGCUUGUAAGUCAGUGGUGAAAUACUGCCGCUUAACGGUAGAACUGCCAUUGAUACUGCGAGUCUUGAAUAUCGUUGAGGUAGGCGGAAUGUGUUGUGUAGCGGUGAAAUGCAUAGAUAUGACACAGAACGCCGAUUGCGAAGGCAGCUUACUAAGCCAUUAUUGACGCUGAGGCACGAAAGCGUGGGGAGCGAACAGGAUUAGAUACCCUGGUAGUCC
Molecule: ribosomal RNA, 229 nt
Filed under: uncultured bacterium
Lineage: Bacteria
Description: partial 16S ribosomal RNA
Rfam family: Bacterial small subunit ribosomal RNA
Source: RNAcentral